This 207-nucleotide ribosomal RNA is filed under the name uncultured bacterium. Its description in RNAcentral is "partial 16S ribosomal RNA". It matches the Rfam family "Bacterial small subunit ribosomal RNA", at positions 568 to 774 of the family's 1533-position model. The record is from RNAcentral.
CGUGUAGGCGGAUGUUCAAGUCAUAUGUGAAAACCAGCAGCUCAACUGCUGGCCUGCAUUUGAUACUGUUCAUCUUGAGUAUGAGAGGGGAAAGCGGAAUUCCUGGUGUAGCGGUGAAAUGCGUAGAUAUCAGGAGGAACACCGGUGGCGAAGGCGGCUUUCUGGCUCAAUACUGACGCUAAGGCGCGAAGGCCGGGGGAGCAAACA